GGACACAUAGCUCAACGGCAGAGCGUCAGUCUACGGAACUGAAGGUUAAGGGUUCGAAUCCCUUUGUGUUCG
Molecule: transfer RNA, 72 nt
Rfam family: tRNA
About the family: Transfer RNA (tRNA) molecules are approximately 80 nucleotides in length.
Source: Rfam